This 22-nucleotide ribosomal RNA is filed under the name Eimeria meleagrimitis. Its description in RNAcentral is "partial 5.8S ribosomal RNA". RNAcentral also lists the same sequence under 3 other names. The record is from RNAcentral. Lineage: Eukaryota; Apicomplexa; Conoidasida; Eucoccidiorida; Eimeriidae.
AAACUUUCAGCAAUGGAUGUCU